This 65-nucleotide transfer RNA is filed under the name Pupa strigosa. Its description in RNAcentral is "tRNA-Met". The record is from RNAcentral. Lineage: Eukaryota; Metazoa; Mollusca; Gastropoda; Acteonidae.
AAGUAGGUAAGCUAAAUUUAAAGCUGUUGGGCUCAUAACCCACAAAUGGUUCCGACCCCUUCUUA